RNAcentral lists this long non-coding RNA (210 nucleotides) under Glycine max (soybean). Its description in RNAcentral is "long non-coding RNA (GMAX_LNC004432)". The record is from RNAcentral. Lineage: Eukaryota; Viridiplantae; Streptophyta; Magnoliopsida; Fabales; Fabaceae.
UGCAGAGUGGCGUCAGUGCAAUGGCUCCACCGUCACUGUCAACAUGGUGUCGCACAACAUUAAGUUUAGUUCAUGGUCGUGGGUUGCUUUGUAACAAUUAAGUUGUUGAAUUACUUUGUAACAAUUACGUACAACUUAUAUUAGUCCCUGCCUAUUUGGUGCAUCGUCAUUCUGUUAUUUGACCAUGAGAGUUUAGUUCAUGGUGGUGGG